This 253-nucleotide ribosomal RNA is filed under the name uncultured bacterium. RNAcentral describes it as "partial 16S ribosomal RNA". It matches the Rfam family "Bacterial small subunit ribosomal RNA", at positions 524 to 776 of the family's 1533-position model. The record is from RNAcentral.
UACGGAGGGUGCAAGCGUUAUCCGGAUUCACUGGGUUUAAAGGGUGCGUAGGUGGGCUAGUAAGUCAGUGGUGAAAUCUCCGGGCUUAACCCGGAAACUGCCAUUGAUACUAUUAGUCUUGAAUACCAUGGAGGUGAGCGGAAUAUGUCAUGUAGCGGUGAAAUGCUUAGAUAUGACAUAGAACACCAAUUGCGAAGGCAGCUCGCUACGCGGUUAUUGACACUGAGGCAGGAAAGCGUGGGGAGCAAACAGG